This 1537-nucleotide long non-coding RNA is filed under the name Catharus ustulatus (Swainson's thrush). RNAcentral's name for it is "lncRNA (ENSCUSG00005005938.1)". The record is from RNAcentral. Lineage: Eukaryota; Metazoa; Chordata; Aves; Passeriformes; Turdidae.
GGGCAGGGGGAGGGGGGAAAGUUCCCACACACACACGCAGGGGAAAGGGGAAAAAUUAAGAAAAAUAUUAAAAAAAAAAAAAAGAGGAAAGGAGAGAAGGGAGGAGGGGGGAGAAGAAGGGGGGGAUAACCCCAGAUCAGGUGCUGCGGCGAGCGAGAGAGCAGGGGGCAGAGUGAGAGAGAACGCACAAAGUGUCCCGCAAGUGGGGACGGAGGAGGAGGAGGAGGAGGAGAAGUCCGCUCCGGGCGGCGGGGCUGGGGCCGAGGGGAGGGGGAGGGCAGUUUCUUUUUGUGGUCCUUGCUCUAGCACCACGUUAAAGACGAAGGUGAAAAGGAGGAGGUUUGAAGGACUUCGGUUCUCUCUGGCAAGUACAUUGAUCAAAGAUUGAGAGGGGAAUGACAGAGAGAAAAUGAGCGGGGAAGUGCUGGCUGCUGCUGCCGCCGCCGCCGCCGCUCGCUCGCUGGACGAGUUGUUGUUGUCACACGGUGCGGAGGGGAGGAGCUCCGGCAACUUGAAAUACCCUUUGAAGCAGCAAAAGGCUCACUCACUAGUAUUAACCCAAAUUAUCCAACCAGGAACCCGGAGCAGGGAAACAGCGAGAGAGGGAGAGAAGUCCCUCUCCCCCCCUCCUUCAGGAACCGUUAGAUUACAUGUUUCAUAUUUCACCCCACCAGAGAUGAGAUGUAAUUUUCCCAGCCCUUUUCAACAGUCGCUUGUCAACACAGUUUGCGGAGAAACACGAGCGUCUCCAGCGUUCCCCCAAAGCCGGGCGGGAGCGGGGGAGCCGGGGCGCGGGGCGGGCGCUGGGCACCGCACACCUUGCCGGGGCAGACAAAAGCAGAAACCUCCGGACGGGGCUGUUGCUCUUGCUGCUGCUGUUGCUCUCCCGGGACCACAAACGCUCCUCCCGGGCGGGGUGGGAGUUGCUGCCGAGGGUCCCCUUUGUUGCGCGGCGGCGGCUGCGCGGGGCGCGCACGGGCAGCCCCACGCGGCAGCAUCCGCGGAGGACUCUCCUGCGGCGGCCGCGGAUCGGAUCGCAGGGGACUGGCACUGCGCGUCAGGCCGUCGAGACGCCGCACCGACCGGGCUGCGGCGGCACAGAAGUAACUUGGGAGAGGGGCAGGCGGGCGGCCCGCGCAGGUCCCGCCGCGCAACAGGUGUCGGCGGCGCGCAGCGCAGCCCCGGGCCGGCCCCUCCGCGCCGCACAGCGCGCAAAGUCAGCCGGCGCGCUGGCCCGCGCAUGCGCGCUGGGGCGGCGGCAGGCGCGGUACCUGCCGGCCCCGAGCCGGGAUGCGGCUGGAGCGCGCUUGGCAGCUGGCGUGCCGGGCUCCGCCGGGAAAGCCCGGGGCUCUGCUCCGCCUGUCUUGAGACACUUCGCACUUUGAAAGGGAAAGCCAGCUCUGUCCAUAUUUUAUUUCCCUUACCUGUUCUUUUUGCAUGUCACCUUCUCUCACACCUUGUGAAGACAGAAGAGCUCCAUAAGAAGAUCAGGAUAGAGCCAGACACGCGUGGUAUUGCCACUUGGAGAUGUGGGUGA